CCUUGCAGUGUUUGAUCCUGUGUGACAUUCUGGGCCUGCUUUUCCUCAUGGAUCAUACCAACUGCCUUUCUAAUCAGGCAAGUCAACCGCGGUGGCAACAAUGACUGUCUCUUUCUGGGUCGGAUACCAAGAAGAGGUUACCCCCUGAGCAUAGUACACACAUCUGGAAGAAUUAAAUUCAUAAUGGACUCAGGAUCCUGACCUGGUCCAAACGGAUACUG
Non-coding RNA from Pelobates cultripes (western spadefoot toad), 221 nucleotides. NCBI's taxonomy places the organism in Eukaryota, Metazoa, Chordata, Amphibia, Anura, Pelobatidae. The record is from the annotation of a GenBank genome assembly.